This 468-nucleotide ribosomal RNA is filed under the name uncultured bacterium. RNAcentral's name for it is "partial 16S ribosomal RNA". It matches the Rfam family "Bacterial small subunit ribosomal RNA", at positions 28 to 507 of the family's 1533-position model. The record is from RNAcentral.
GACGAACGCUGGCGGCGUGCUUAACACAUGCAAGUCGAACGGAAAGGCCCUGCUUUUGUGGGGUGCUCGAGUGGCGAACGGGUGAGUAACACGUGAGUAACCUGCCCUUUACUUUUGGAUAACUUCAGGAAACUGGGGCUAAUACCGGAUAGGAGCUCCUGCUUCAUGGUGGGGGUUGGAAAGUUUCGGCGGUUGGGGAUGGACUCGCGGCUUAUCAGCUUGUUGGUGGGGUAGUGGCUUACCAAGGCUUUGACGGGUAGCCGGCCUGAGAGGGUGACCGGCCACAUUGGGACUGAGAUACGGCCCAGACUCCUACGGGAGGCAGCAGUGGGGAAUAUUGCACAAUGGGCGGAAGCCUGAUGCAGCAACGCCGCGUGCGGGAUGACGGCCUUCGGGUUGUAAACCGCUUUCGCCUGUGACGAAGCGUGAGUGACGGUAAUGGGUAAAGAAGCACCGGCUAACUACGUG